UUUCACAAUGGGGGNAACCNUGAUGGAGNGACGCCGCGUGGAGGAUGNAGNCCUUCGGGUUGUAAACUCCUGUCAUUGGNGNNCAAGAUCGGCCGGGUAACUCCGUUGCCGGUUUGCUNGUANCNGAAGAGGAAGGGACGGCUAACUNUGUGCCAGCAGCCGCGGUAAUACAGAGGUCCCAAGCGUUGUUNGGAUUUAUUGGGCGUAAAGGGUGCGUAGGCGGCGGAGUAAGUUGGGUGUGAAAUCCCGGGGCUCAACCUCGNAAUNGCAUUCAAUANUGCUUCGCUCGAGUACUGGAGAGGAGGCUGGAAUUUACGGUGUAGCAGUGAAAUGCGUAGAUAUCGUAAGGAAGGCCGGUGGCGAAAGCGAGCCUCUGGACAGUUACUGACGCUGAUGCACGAAGGCCAGGGGAGCAAACGGGAUUAGAUACCCCGGUAGUCCUGGCAGUAAACGGUGCGCGUUUGGUGUGGGGGGAUUCGACAAUCUCCGCGCCGGAGCUANCGCGUUAAACGCGCCGCNUGGGAAAUACGGUCG
This 534-nucleotide ribosomal RNA is filed under the name uncultured bacterium. RNAcentral describes it as "partial 16S ribosomal RNA". It matches the Rfam family "Bacterial small subunit ribosomal RNA", at positions 364 to 888 of the family's 1533-position model. The record is from RNAcentral.